Molecule: small nuclear RNA, 107 nt
Organism: Jaculus jaculus (lesser Egyptian jerboa)
Lineage: Eukaryota; Metazoa; Chordata; Mammalia; Rodentia; Dipodidae
Source: Ensembl
GUGCUUACUUCAGCAGCACAUCUACUAAAAUUGGAAUAAUACAGAGAAAAUUAGCAUGGCUCCUGUGUGAAGAUGACAUAAAAAGUAGUGCAGUGUGUGUGUGUGUU